Long non-coding RNA from Corapipo altera (White-ruffed manakin), 651 nucleotides. RefSeq lists it as uncharacterized. NCBI's taxonomy places the organism in Eukaryota, Metazoa, Chordata, Aves, Passeriformes, Pipridae. The record is from RefSeq and is a predicted model, not a curated record. The transcript has 2 exons.
UUCUCCCACUGGUUUUAUGGCAGACGCCACAGAGCUCAUGGCUGUGAAGGCCUCAAAUAGUUUUGCAAAACAACAUAUUGUUUUCCUUCUUCAGGUAAAGAAUAUCAGGUUGAUGCAGUGGAGUUAAUAAUGAUGAAAAGGGAAGAAAUUUGCGUUCCCAGCCUUUAAAGGGAACAAGGCUGACAAACCGAGUGCCCCUUUCUCUGUUGGCUCCUCAUUUUCACGGAAAAGAUUAUUAAGGUUGGAAAAGACCUCCAAGGAAUGAGCUUAAGCCUGACCAUCUUCAGGAACAGCAUUUGGAGACAGGAUAAUUGAUUUUAUCCAGAAAAUACAGUAUGGUCAACUGGAAUUUACUUCCAUGGCAUGAUUUCUCAAUUUCUGAAUAAGCAAUUUCUGCUUAUUCAGAAAUUGCUUCCUUACGAUCUUUCUGUUGAACAGCCACUGAAACAGGAAAAAAACUUCUGUGUUUUUUUCCCUUAUAUUUUUUCCUUUGAGUCUCUCCACUCUCAGCUGUGGUCUUAUAUUAGGAAGUGCUCUUAUUUUUACAAUUCAAAUUGGUAAAUUUGUACAUUAAUUUCUAGGAGGAAGAUGCUUUCAUUACUCCAUAAAUGCAUUUGAGCCUGCAAUUUGCUUUUUUUCCCCGUGAGAUUU